GAUGAAGAACGCAGCGAAAUGCGAUAAGUAAUGUGAAUUGCAGAAUUCAGUGAAUCAUCGAAUCUUUGAACGCACAUUGCGCCCGCCAGCACUCUGGCGGGCAUGCCUGUUCGAGCGUCAUUUCAACCCUCGAGCCCCCCCGGGGGCCCGGCGUUGGGGGUCGGCCCUGGCCGCCCCCGAAAUGCAGUGGCGACCUCGCCGCAGCCUCCCCUGCGUAGUAGCACACACCUCGCACCGGGGCGCGGAGACGGUCACGCCGUAAAACGCACCAGCCUUCAAGAGUUGACCUCGGAUCAGGUAGGAAUACCCGCUGAACUUAAGCAUAUCAAUAAGCGGAGGAA
Molecule: unclassified non-coding RNA, 341 nt
Filed under: soil metagenome
Description: partial contains 5.8S ribosomal RNA, internal transcribed spacer 2, and large subunit ribosomal RNA
Rfam family: 5.8S ribosomal RNA (bases 1-120)
Source: RNAcentral